Molecule: long non-coding RNA, 1144 nt
Filed under: Homo sapiens (human)
Lineage: Eukaryota; Metazoa; Chordata; Mammalia; Primates; Hominidae
Description: non-protein coding lnc-MFSD8-8:1
Source: RNAcentral
GGGCGGGGCGUGCCUCCCGCAGGGGUUACGAACGAAAGGCGAGCGCGUGGCGCUCAGGAGCCCGCGCACGCGCUGUGGUCUCGCCCCGCCCAUGAGCGUCCGCGCGGCCGUCGUAGCAUCUUUUCUUCAGACCCGCCCGGCUCGUCUACUUAACCUAGCGGAGGCUUGGAGUGAGAGCAGGGAAGUCGGGUCCAUAUGGAAUAUUUGCUGGUAGGGAUGCCUCCAGAGGACUGGCCACAUUUUGCCUAGAUAAAGAUGCACUUAGAGAUGAAUAUGAUGAUCUCUCAGAUUUGAAUGCAGUACAAAUGGAGAGUGUUCGAGAAUGGGAAAUGCAGUUUAAAGAAAAAUAUGAUUAUGUAGGCAGACUCCUAAAACCAGGAGAAGAACCAUCAGAAUAUACAGAUGAAGAAGAUACCAAGGAUCACAAUAAACAGGAUUGAACUUUGUAAACAACCAAAGUCAGGGGCCUUCAGAACUGCAAUUCUUACUCCCUUUCACAGACUGUCCGGAGUCUUUGGGUUUGAUUCACCUGCUGCGAAAAACAUUCAACAAAUUGUGUACAAGAUAAAUUAAUCUCACUAUGAAGAUUUGAAUAACUAGACAUUAUUUAUGCUGCCAAACUCAUUUGUUGCAGUUGUUUGUAAUGUCUAGUGGGGCUUCAUCAUCCUGAAAAGAAGGAGACAGGGAUUUUUUUAAAGAGCAAGAAAGUCACAAUAUUACUUCUUUCCUUCCUUUUUUCCUUCUUUCCUUUCUUCUUUCUCUUUCUUUCUUUUUAAAAUAUAUUGAAGACAACCAGAUAUGUAUUUGCUACUCAAGUGUACAGAUCUCCUCAAGAAACAUCAAGGGACUCCUGUGUCACAUACUGUGUUUUUAUUUUAACAUGGGUGAGGGAGGCGACCUGAUCAGGGGAGGUGGGGGUACACAUCAAUUUGAGUUGUUCAGGCUACUGAAACAUUAAAAUGUGAAUUCCCAAACUUUUCUUUUUGGCUUUGUCAGGGAAAAGAAAAAUAUCUUUAUAAAGAAAUCUUUGGAAAUUAGGAGAAGGAAUUUCAGGUGGGUUUAAGUCAGAGCUAGUUCCCCAACAGAAAGAUCAUUUGAAACCAGUUUUUAUCCCUUCUCUUUCCUUCCCUUUCCCUAAAUCAAA